AUUGAACGCUGGCGGCAUGCCUUACACAUGCAAGUCGAACGGUAACAGGUUAAGCUGACGAGUGGCGAACGGGUGAGUAAUGUAUCGGAACGUGCCCAGUCGUGGGGGAUAACUGCUCAAAAGAGCAGCUAAUACCGCAUACGACCUGAGGGUGAAAGCGGGGGAUCGCAAGACCUCGCGCGAUUGGAGCGGCCGAUAUCAGAUUAGGUAGUUGGUGAGGUAAAGGCUCACCAAGCCGACGAUCUGUAGCUGGUCUGAGAGGACGACCAGCCACACUGGGACUGAGACACGGCCCAGACUCCUACGGGAGGCAGCAGUGGGGAAUUUUGGACAAUGGGCGCAAGCCUGAUCCAGCCAUGCCGCGUGCGGGAAGAAGGCCUUCGGGUUGUAAACCGCUUUUGUCAGGGAAGAAAAGGUUCUGGCUAAUACCUGGGACUCAUGACGGUACCUGAAGAAUAAGCACCGGCUAACUACGUG
RNAcentral lists this ribosomal RNA (477 nucleotides) under uncultured bacterium. RNAcentral describes it as "partial 16S ribosomal RNA". It matches the Rfam family "Bacterial small subunit ribosomal RNA", at positions 30 to 507 of the family's 1533-position model. The record is from RNAcentral.